Molecule: long non-coding RNA, 820 nt
Filed under: Calidris pugnax (ruff)
Lineage: Eukaryota; Metazoa; Chordata; Aves; Charadriiformes; Scolopacidae
Description: lncRNA (ENSCPUG00000015380.1)
Source: RNAcentral
UUGGUCUAGGAUGAGUUUGGAAGAUACUAUUCCAGAAAAGAUAAUCUUUUCCUUCUCAAACAAUUACAGUGUCACUGGGAGGCGAUAAAUAUAAAUAUAAACAUAGCCUUGUGUGGAGUCACUCUUCAGAGCAGGAUCUUACUUUAAAUCAAAAUGAGAGGCAGAAAAAAAUGCAUUAAUGGAAGAAUCCUAUCCUCACUUACACAAUUACUGCAAGGAAAGAGUUGUAAUUCCAGCUGCUGGACCUGAGGUGGGGGCUUCCAGGUGGUGUGGGAAGUGAUCACCAUGUGAAAUGUUGAAGAAAGUUGAAGAAGUAUCAGGAGAUGAGACAUCAAACAUUUGUUGUUUUUGUUGGGUGAAAGCCUGAUGAUCCCGUCAUCCCAGGAAUGUUAUGAAAGCAAAACUUGGAAUUAAUUAAAGGUAUAAUUGGAAGAGUGAAACUAGCUGAAUUAAUGCAAAAGCAGGAAAACGUUAAGUGUUGCGUCUCGCGGGGAAUCAAAAGAGACAGUUCUGAGUGAGAAAAGCAGCGCAGACGGGUGAUCGUCGGGCAGGUGUUACUCAACGCUUUCGGGGAACUGGCAAAUCAUCAAAAGAAGAUGUAACUGGAAUCGACUCUUUAAGAGAGAAUCAGACUCAAACAUUUCAGGUGAGGAGGAUCUGUUUAAUGUGUCAUCUUCACUCCUCAAGCAUAAACCUGCCGUUGAGCCUGACAAAGAGCUGCAGCUCCUUAACCAGUGGCACAGACAGGAGGAAAAUCUGGUUUCAAGCACUUAGAAACCGCAGCCGACCAGGAGGGGUGCUUGUCCUUCUGGACAAAUGA